This is a long non-coding RNA of Homo sapiens (human), 512 nucleotides long. Lineage: Eukaryota; Metazoa; Chordata; Mammalia; Primates; Hominidae. The record is from Ensembl.
CCCUAGACCAUCACGGAUGCCGAGCUUCAGAUAACUCUCACAGUAGAAGAUUCAGCCCAUCUGCACCCAGGUGAAAUAAACAGCUUUAUUGAUCACACAAAGCCUGUUUGGUAGUCUCUUCACACGGACGUGCAUGAAAAAUAUAUCAAAAGAGUAUUCGCAUUCCUGUGUUUAUUGCAGCAUUAUUCAAAAUAGCAAGACGUGGAACAACCUGAGUGUUCAUUGACAGAUGAAUGCAUCAAGAAAAUAUGGUACAUAUACACCAUGGAAUAUUAUUCAGCAAUAAAAAAUAAUCAAAUUCUGUCAUUUGCAACAACAUGGUUGGAAUUACAGGUCAUUAUGUUAAGUGAAAUUAUCCAGGAACAGAAAGACACAUCUUCUCACUGAUAUGUGAGAAAAAAAUUAAAUUGAACUCAUAGAGAGUAGAAUGAUUGUUACCAAAACUGGGAAGGGUAGUGGGGAGAGGUAAAUAAAGUGGGAAUUGUUAAUGAGUGCAAAAAUACAAUUAGGUG